UUUUUUUUUUUUUUUUGAAAUAUUCAAACAUAAACAGCUUGAUUAACCUAAUUUGCAAUUCAAUUUCAACCGAUCCACUUUGAUUUUACGAUUUGUCUGCUCACCCCUAUGCAAUUAUGAUAACUUGCUAAGCAGUAGACAUGUAUAAAUCACCAAAUGAAGAAAACGAAAUUCCGAUCAAAUCAAUUACGGAUAUGAAAUGAAUUUACAUCAGCCAGAAACAUGACAAAAUCCCUGCAAAUUGGGUUAAUGUGAUUCACUUUCCCUUCUUAAUAAAAAUCUUAACCUUCUCUUGCAGGAGAAGGGAACAUCCAUCUUCAGUUGCAUCACUAGGAAGCCUAGAUUAGCUUUCCACCAUUGGCUCA
This 365-nucleotide unclassified non-coding RNA is filed under the name Hevea brasiliensis (rubber tree). Lineage: Eukaryota; Viridiplantae; Streptophyta; Magnoliopsida; Malpighiales; Euphorbiaceae. The record is from RNAcentral.